RNAcentral lists this ribosomal RNA (461 nucleotides) under Candidatus Cloacimonadota bacterium. RNAcentral describes it as "bacterial SSU rRNA". It matches the Rfam family "Bacterial small subunit ribosomal RNA", at positions 1 to 437 of the family's 1533-position model. The record is from RNAcentral. Lineage: Bacteria; Pseudomonadati; Candidatus Cloacimonadota.
AUAACGGAGAGUUUGAUCCUGGCUCAGGACGAACGCUGGCGGCAUGGAUUAGGCAUGCAAGUCGUACGCGAAUUUAUUUUGAAAAAGUGCUUCGGUGCGAUGGAAGAAUAUAUUUGAGUGGCGAACGGGAGAGUAACGCGUGGGUAAUUUGCCUCUAAGCGGGGGACAACACAGGGAAACCUGUGCUAAUACCGCAUGUGCCGAGUAAUCGGUAAAGGUGGCCUCUAUUUAUAAGCUGCCGCUUAGAGAUAAGCCUGCGUACUAUUAGUUUGUUGGUAAGGUAACGGCUUACCAAGGCUAUGAUAGUUAGGCGGCCUUAACGGGUGACCGCCCUCACUGGGAUUGAGAUACGGCCCAGACUCCUACGGGAGGCAGCAGUCGAGAAUAGUCUACAAUGGACGAAAGUCUGAUAGUGCAAUGCCGCGUGGAUGAAGAAGCAUUUCGGUGUGUAAAAUCCUUUU